UACGGGGGGGGCAAGCGUUGUUCGGAAUUACUGGGCGUAAAGGGUUUGUAGGUGGCUUGUUAAGUCAGACGUGAAAUCCCUCAGCUUAACUGGGGAACUGCGUCUGAUACUGGAAAGCUUGAGUGCAGGAGAGGAACGCGGAAUUCCAGGUGUAGCGGUGAAAUGCGUAGAUAUCUGGAGGAACACCGGUGGCGAAGGCGGCGUUCUGGACUGCAACUGACACUGAUGAACGAAAGCGUGGGGAGCAAACAGG
This 253-nucleotide ribosomal RNA is filed under the name uncultured bacterium. Its description in RNAcentral is "partial 16S ribosomal RNA". It matches the Rfam family "Bacterial small subunit ribosomal RNA", at positions 524 to 776 of the family's 1533-position model. The record is from RNAcentral.